Molecule: ribosomal RNA, 542 nt
Filed under: uncultured Bifidobacterium sp.
Lineage: Bacteria; Bacillati; Actinomycetota; Actinomycetes; Bifidobacteriales; Bifidobacteriaceae
Description: bacterial SSU rRNA
Rfam family: Bacterial small subunit ribosomal RNA
Source: RNAcentral
CUCCUGGAAACGGGUGGUAAUGCCGGAUGCUCCAGUUGACCGCAUGGUCCUCUGGGAAAGCUUUUGCGGUAUGGGAUGGGGUCGCGUCCUAUCAGCUUGAUGGCGGGGUAACGGCCCACCAUGGCUUCGACGGGUAGCCGGCCUGAGAGGGCGACCGGCCACAUUGGGACUGAGAUACGGCCCAGACUCCUACGGGAGGCAGCAGUGGGGAAUAUUGCACAAUGGGCGCAAGCCUGAUGCAGCGACGCCGCGUGCGGGAUGACGGCCUUCGGGUUGUAAACCGCUUUUGACUGGGAGCAAGCCCUUCGGGGUGAGUGUACCUUUCGAAUAAGCACCGGCUAACUACGUGCCAGCAGCCGCGGUAAUACGUAGGGUGCAAGCGUUAUCCGGAAUUAUUGGGCGUAAAGGGCUCGUAGGCGGUUCGUCGCGUCCGGUGUGAAAGUCCAUCGCUUAACGGUGGAUCCGCGCCGGGUACGGGCGGGCUUGAGUGCGGUAGGGGAGACUGGAAUUCCCGGUGUAACGGUGGAAUGUGUAGAUAUCGG